UAAAAAACAUAGUGCUUCAUGAAUUUGCAUGUCAUCCUUGCACAGGGUCAUGCUAAUCUUCCCUGUAUCAUUCCAAUUUUAGUAUUUGUACUGUCAAACUGUAGAAUAA
Molecule: small nuclear RNA, 109 nt
Filed under: Cricetulus griseus (Chinese hamster)
Lineage: Eukaryota; Metazoa; Chordata; Mammalia; Rodentia; Cricetidae
Source: RNAcentral